RNAcentral lists this long non-coding RNA (2356 nucleotides) under Brassica napus (rape). RNAcentral's name for it is "long non-coding RNA (BNAP_LNC004784)". The record is from RNAcentral. Lineage: Eukaryota; Viridiplantae; Streptophyta; Magnoliopsida; Brassicales; Brassicaceae.
UCAAAGUUCUUUAGCUAAAAACAUGUGAAACCAAUCUUUAUAACUCUUCUUCUCCAUUGAACAGCCUGGAUACGGGUAUCAACAACAGCUUGUACCGGGCAUGAGACCUGGCGGCUCACCGAUGUCAAACUUCUUCAUGCCUAUGAUGCAACAAGGCCAGCAACAACAGCAGCAGCAACGACCUGGUGGUGGUGGUAGAAGAGGAGGAGCUCUUCCACAACAACCUUCCCCUAUGAUGCAGCCACAGCAGGUUAAGUAUCUUCUGCAGCAAUUAUUGUCUCUUUGAGAAUCAUUUGCGUUCUUAUAUUUUGCUGUAUUCUCCAGAUGCAUCCAAGGGGUAGAAUGUAUAGGUAUCCACAGAGAGAUGUAAACCCAAUGCCUGGUCUUACUCCAAACAUGCUGUCUGUACCGUAUGAUGUGUCUGGUGGUGGUGCUCAUCUUCGUGAUUCACCUGCUGCUUCUCAGCCUGUUCCUAUUGGAGCUUUGGCUACAUCACUCGCUAAUGCGGCUCCUGAGCAUCAGAGAACGGUAAUAUUAAAAUGUUGUUUUUUUUGUCACUGAGACAAUUUAUUGUUUACUGAAAAAGUGUUGUUUUUUCUUCCUCACAGAUGCUUGGUGAGAAUCUGUACCCACUAGUGGAGCAGCUUGAGCCAGAAUCAGCAGCUAAAGUCACGGGAAUGCUUCUUGAAAUGGACCAAACCGAAGUACUUCACUUGCUGGAAUCUCCUGAUGCACUUAAAGCUAAAGUUGCAGAGGCAAUGGAUGUGCUGAGGAGUGUAGCUCAGCAGCAGCAAGCUGGUGGUGCAGCUGAUCAGUUAGCGUCUCUGUCUCUUGGAGACAACAUCGUACCUUGAGUUAUAAGUGCUUUGUUUGUCCUUGUGGAGAAUCAGAUACAAAGAGUGGUUCUUGAAAGUUUUGGAUUACAAUGUGUUUUUUUUUGUUUUGGAUUUCAGCUAAUCUUUAAUACUUUGGGAAGUUUUGGAUCAUUUACCCAUUCCAUAGAUCUUGGUUUGCUUUUAUCUAUUUAAGAUUCAUAAAACGUUUGGUUUAAUGCGUUUGAUGAUCUUAGUCACAAAAUGCACCAAAACUAGCGCAUUGCUGAGUUCAUAUUAAUUAGUUCAUUUAGUUCUAAUUGCAUACACAAAACAAUAUUUCAUCCAAAUUGUGUUUUUUUUCUUUGUUUCUAUAUUGACACCAAAGGCACUAUGGAAAUUAGAUUGUAUGCCUAACAAAAAAAUUAUAAAAAUCUAACAGUUUUACCUAAUUAGCUAGAGUAUACGAUAUAUUUUAUGUGUAAAUGUUAUUUUGCCUUUAUAAUCAUGAAUCAACCAACAAUCUGGUAAGAAAUACAUAAUAAAAUAAUUAUUAAAUAAUUGUAAUUAGUAUAUCAUGUCUCAUCCAGCAAUCUGGCCUUUGUUUAAGUGUCUUAAGUUCAUAAACUAAUAACGCAAGAUUUUAUUAUAGUUUUGAAAAGUCUCAAUUGAAUAAGACUAGAAUAAUUAUAAAAUCUAAAUCUAUAUAACUCUUUAAAUACACAAUCUAAAAACUUUAUUACAUUUUGAAUGUGACAGGUGAUGCGUGACCCUACUGGAGUGAGUAGAGGAUCUGGAUUUGUGGCAUUCUCAACUCCUGAGGAAGCAUCUAGAGCUGUAAGUGACUACCAUAUAAAGAAGACAUGUGAAUUUUAAAGCGAUCUCAAUGUUUAACUUGUCCUUGGGUUCAGAUUGCUGAGAUGAAUGGUAAAAUGAUUGUCUCAAAGCCUCUAUAUGUCGCUCUUGCACAGAGGAAAGAAGACCGCAAAGCUAGGUUACAGGUCUGUUUAUGUUUUUAACCUUAAAACAAGAGUUGACGUUAUCCUAUUCUCAUAGUACUCAAUUUUCACUUUCUUUGCAUUUCAGGCUCAGUUUUCACAGAUGAGGCCAGUACCUGCGGUUGGUCCUAGGAUGCCAAUGUAUCCACCAGGUGGCCCACCAAUGGGUCAACAACUCUUCUAUGGCCAAGGACCUCCUGGCAUGAUUCCUCCUCAGGUAAAAGUCAAAGUUCUUUAGCUAAAAACAUGUGAAACCAAUCUUUAUAACUCUUCUUCUCCAUUGAACAGCCUGGAUACGGGUAUCAACAACAGCUUGUACCGGGCAUGAGACCUGGCGGCUCACCGAUGUCAAACUUCUUCAUGCCUAUGAUGCAACAAGGCCAGCAACAACAGCAGCAGCAACGACCUGGUGGUGGUGGUAGAAGAGGAGGAGCUCUUCCACAACAACCUUCCCCUAUGAUGCAGCCACAGCAGGUUAAGUAUCUUCUGCAGCAAUUAUUGUCUCUUUGAGAAUCAUUUGCGUUCUUAUAUUUUGCUGUAUUCUCC